This 81-nucleotide ribosomal RNA is filed under the name Oxyrrhis marina. RNAcentral describes it as "partial Bacterial large subunit ribosomal RNA". Lineage: Eukaryota; Dinophyceae; Oxyrrhinales; Oxyrrhinaceae. The record is from RNAcentral.
CAGAGUCGAGUGUAGCCUCAUGACGCCACAGGCUUUAGUGAGGCCUCCAGACUCUGAUUGGACUCUUCACGACCUCACAGC